GACGAACGCUGGCGGCGUGCCUAAUACAUGCAAGUCGAGCGGAACUGGGGGAGCUUGCUCCUUCCAGUUUAGCGGCGGACGGGUGAGUAACACGUGGGCAACCUGCCCUGCAGAUCGGGAUAACUCCGGGAAACCGGUGCUAAUACCGAAUAGUUUGGCGCCUCUCCUGAGGCGCUACGGAAAGACGGUUUCGGCUGUCACUGCAGGAUGGGCCCGCGGCGCAUUAGCUAGCUGGGGGGGUAACGGCCCACCAAGGCGACGAUGCGUAGCCGACCUGAGAGGGUGACCGGCCACACUGGGACUGAGACACGGCCCAGACUCCUACGGGAGGCAGCAGUAGGGAAUCUUCCGCAAUGGACGCAAGUCUGACGGAGCAACGCCGCGUGAGUGACGAAGGUUUUCGGAUCGUAAAACUCUGUUGUGAGGGAAGAACACGUACCAACUAACUAUUGGUACCUUGACGGUACCUCACCAGAAAGCCACGGCUAACUACGUGCCAGCCGCCGCCGUAA
Molecule: ribosomal RNA, 512 nt
Filed under: uncultured bacterium
Lineage: Bacteria
Description: partial 16S ribosomal RNA
Rfam family: Bacterial small subunit ribosomal RNA
Source: RNAcentral